UACGUAGGGUCCGAGCGUUGUCCGGAAUUACUGGGCGUAAAGAGCUCGUAGGUGGUUUGUCGCGUUGUUCGUGAAAACUCACAGCUCAACUGUGGGCGUGCGGGCGAUACGGGCAGACUAGAGUACUGCAGGGGAGACUGGAAUUCCUGGUGUAGCGGUGGAAUGCGCAGAUAUCGGGAGGAACACCUGUGGCGAAGGCGGCCCCCUGGUUGGAUACUGACGCUGAUACGCGGAGGCGUGGGGAGCAAACGGG
Molecule: ribosomal RNA, 253 nt
Filed under: uncultured bacterium
Lineage: Bacteria
Description: partial 16S ribosomal RNA
Rfam family: Bacterial small subunit ribosomal RNA
Source: RNAcentral